Long non-coding RNA from Carassius carassius (crucian carp), 294 nucleotides. RefSeq lists it as uncharacterized. The record is from RefSeq and is a predicted model, not a curated record. The transcript has 2 exons. Lineage: Eukaryota; Metazoa; Chordata; Actinopteri; Cypriniformes; Cyprinidae.
ACUGGCCAUCUGUCAUCCAGCUCUCCAUUCCUUAUGUUUGUCCAGCUCAUUUAGGAACUAUAAAACGUAAUGAAGCAUUUUAGACAAUACUAGAUAAAGAAAACUGGAUGAGCAUGCACUGGAGCAUCCUGUUUACCAAAAGAUUUGAGCUGAACGUGACCUCUAAUCAAAAACUGCAUGUUGGGUGUGAACGGCGGUGGGUGUGGAUUUAUGACACACGCUGUAGACUGUGUAUGUUAAAUAAACAAAUAGUUUUACUGUGGAUAUUUUAAUUAAAAUUUAUGAGAGUAAAAA